RNAcentral lists this ribosomal RNA (490 nucleotides) under Vibrio sp. Its description in RNAcentral is "bacterial SSU rRNA". It matches the Rfam family "Bacterial small subunit ribosomal RNA", at positions 387 to 869 of the family's 1533-position model. The record is from RNAcentral. Lineage: Bacteria; Pseudomonadati; Pseudomonadota; Gammaproteobacteria; Vibrionales; Vibrionaceae.
UGCAGCCAUGCCGCGUGUAUGAAGAAGGCCUUCGGGUUGUAAAGUACUUUCAGCAGUGAGGAAGGCGGGUACGUUAAUAGCGUGCUNGUUUGACGUUAGCUGCAGAAGAAGCACCGGCUAACUCCGUGCCAGCAGCCGCGGUAAUACGGAGGGUGCGAGCGUUAAUCGGAAUUACUGGGCGUAAAGCGCAUGCAGGUGGUUUGUUAAGUCAGAUGUGAAAGCCCGGGGCUCAACCUCGGAAUUGCAUUUGAAACUGGCAGACUAGAGUACUGUAGAGGGGGGUAGAAUUUCAGGUGUAGCGGUGAAAUGCGUAGAGAUCUGAAGGAAUACCGGUGGCGAAGGCGGCCCCCUGGACAGAUACUGACACUCAGAUGCGAAAGCGUGGGGAGCAAACAGGAUUAGAUACCCUGGUAGUCCACGCCGUAAACGAUGUCUACUUGGAGGUUGUGGCCUUGAGCCGUGGCUUUCGGAGCUAACGCGUUAAGUAGAC